Drosophila santomea is the source of this 666-nucleotide long non-coding RNA. RefSeq lists it as uncharacterized. The record is from RefSeq and is a predicted model, not a curated record. Lineage: Eukaryota; Metazoa; Arthropoda; Insecta; Diptera; Drosophilidae. The transcript has 2 exons.
GCAUACAAAUUGAAAAGCGAUUUUAUAUAACAUUUAACAUGUUGAUUUAGUUGCAAGACAGUGUUACUUUUUAUUAAUAUAUCGCAUGAAAUCAGUUAAGUGUGACAAAAUGUAUUGAGAAAUUUACAUUACGUUUAUUAUUCUUGACUUAACUUUAAAGUCCAACAAAAUCAAUCUCAUAAUUCAUUUGCCAAAUGGAGCCAUAAACCAGGGGUUUACGCAACUAAACUUAUGCAAAAUGAUAAAAAAGGGACCGAGGAAUAUGCUCUCAAGGGAUCAGGAUUACCAUUUGGAUGGAUGAAUGGAAGCAUGGAUGACCAAGGGGGAGGCAAUCCAUCUUGGGGCGUUUAUUUUAUGAGCAUGUGGCAAGUGAGGCAUAAAAGUGGAAGAGGCCAGGUACUGAGUAGCACCAAAGCAAGCCACCAACUCACCAAUUCACUCGGCGAAGCGCAGAGAUCCCACAGAAAAGGAAAAGCGGCACAAGGCUCAUGCAGUGAGGGAAACCCCGUCAGGAUAAUUCUCAUUGCCCCCCGUCUGUGCGAUAAUCAAUUUAAAAUUUUCCACGCCUUUCACGUUACCAACAAAUUUUCAUUAAAUGUAACAACCAGCAGCGCACAAAAAAAAGUCUUAAGCAGCAAGAAAUCCAAUAAAAUGAACGAGUUGAAA